This 512-nucleotide ribosomal RNA is filed under the name uncultured bacterium. RNAcentral's name for it is "bacterial SSU rRNA". It matches the Rfam family "Bacterial small subunit ribosomal RNA", at positions 28 to 526 of the family's 1533-position model. The record is from RNAcentral.
GACGAACGCUGGCGGCGUGCUUAACACAUGCAAGUGGAGCGACGAACCGGGCUUCGGCCCGGGGCAGAGCCGCGAACGGGUGAGUAACACGUGGGUAACCUACCCCGAUGACCGGGACAACCCGAGGAAACUCGGGCUAAUACCGGAUGUGAUCCCUUCCCAUGAGGGUUGUGAUCAAAGGUAGCUUCGGCCUCCGCAUCGGGACGGGCCCGCGGCCCAUUAGCUUGUUGGUGGGGUAACGGCCUACCAAGGCUGCGAUGGGUAGCUGGUCUGAGAGGACGAUCAGCCACACUGGGACUGAGACACGGCCCAGACUCCUACGGGAGGCAGCAGUGGGGAAUCUUGCGCAAUGCACGAAAGUGUGACGCAGCAACGCCGCGUGGGGGAAGAAGGCCUUCGGGUUGUAAACCCCUUUCAGUUGGGACGAAGCUUCGCCGGUGAAUAGCCGGCUGGAGUGACGGUACCUUCACAAGAAGCCCCGGCUAACUACGUGCCAGCCGCCGCAGUAACAC